Triticum aestivum (bread wheat) is the source of this 2706-nucleotide RNA transcript. It is a transcript of the gene named DNA polymerase kappa, with no coding region annotated. The transcript has 5 exons. The record is from RefSeq and is a predicted model, not a curated record. NCBI's taxonomy places the organism in Eukaryota, Viridiplantae, Streptophyta, Magnoliopsida, Poales, Poaceae.
UCAAAAAAACCCUCCAAUUUCUCCCGACCAAACCCGCACUCCUCGUCAUCCUCCUCCGACAGAAUCCCCAGCUGCGCUGCUCCCCGCCGCCGUCGCUUCCCCGCUCCCCCGCCGCAGCAGCCCUGCUCCCCGCCGCGGCGGCCCUCGCCGCAGCUGCCCUGCUCCCCCGCUCCCUCGCCGCAGCUGCCUCCUGCUCCGCCGCCGCAGCUGCCGCUCGCUGCCUCCCCAAGCUCCCCCCUUCCUCAUAAAAAUCUUCGAUUUCCGCCGCGCUGAUGGGCCCGACGACGAGGCGUCGCGGCUGGCGUUGUAGGCGUCGGGCGCGGCGGACCCAGGCGCUGCGGCGGGGCGGCUUCGGCCUGGAGUGCGGGCGCUACUGCAACGGCGAACCGGAGGAGAGGCUCCGGCAGUGGAGCCAGGCAUGGCUUGACGUCGCCAAGAAAAUCUCACCGCCUUCCCUUUCUUAUUUCACACGCGCCAUAACACUGGCGACGGAGCUUUGACCUCGCCUCGUCGGAGGAUAGUCCCCUCACCGUCCUUCCUCUCCUAAAAGCGCCCUAAUCCCGGGCGGAGAGUACCUCAGCCGGUGCCCGGCGCGCCUCUCCAUUUCCUUCUCUUGUUCGCUCCGUGCCGGCUGCGGGCGAGACCUCACAGCGAUGUCGUCGGCGGCGGGGACACCAUCGGACGGCGGAGGGGAUAGGCCGUGGCAGUCAUACCACACCGCCUACACCAACGCCAAAGCUGGAAUGGAGGGAGUUGACAAAGAGAAGGUGCAGAAGGUGAUCUAUGAAAUGAGCAAGGGUUUCGAAAAUGAGCAGAAGGAGGCGAUUACCAAACUUAAAAUCGAGCAUCUGCACACACAGUGUGCAAAGUUAACUGAUAAUGACAUAUCACAUUUUCAGAAGCAUCUCCAAGUCCUACAGCCUGGGUCAUCUCUGUCACCAACACAUACAACCUGGGUAGCAGUAUUCUGAUGGACUACCUUCUUCAGAGUGCAGACGAGCACAACACGGCUUCACUUGGGUCAGCAACAGCAGCAUAGGCAGAGGAAGAUCAGGUUCGACGCAGAGGAACCCACGAGCAGAAGAUCAGGUGCGAUGCACAGGUUCAAUUCAACCCAGCUGUGCGCUUGGGUUCAGGUUCAGGUUCUCCCACAGUGCAGAAGAUCAGCAGCAGCACCACGACAGAGGAGCAAUAGCAGCAGCACGCAUAGCUCCACCUGUGACAGGGGAGAAGCAGCUGCGCGGGCGCGCGGGCGCGCGGGCAAGCGAGAAGGAGCAGCACGGCGACACGCGGGAGCUCGAGGAGGACUCACGGGAGAUAGAGGAGGACGAGCGUGAGCUCCUGGUCCAUCGAAUCGUGGAGGCUGGUUCCAACGACGGUCGUAGGGGAUCGUAGCUGGAAGGAUCGCGGCGGCGCACGCGUGGGAGCUCAAGAAGGAGACGCGGGAGCUCGAGGAGGAUGCACGGGAUCUCGAGGAGGACGAGCAGGAGCUCCUGGUCCACCGGAUGGUGCUGGGAAGUUCUGGCGACGCCGCAGGUAAUCGCAGCGGGAGGAGAUCGCGGCGGCACAGGAUUGGGCGACGACGGCGGUACUUGGCGACGGCGGCGGCAGCAGAUCACUUCCUGGUGGGCGACGAAUCGCGCAGCUGGGCGGCCCCGGCCCUUGGCGACACGCGCACGACGGCGGAGGAAGAAGACGAUGGCGGAGGGACUUGUUUGAGAUGGUUUUGAAACUGUGAGGUCUUUUUUGCAAAAGUACCAGUGAACUAGGCGUGCGACAUGUUUUUCGGGACGGAGGGAGUACACAAACACGUAGCAGGCCAGCACGGUCAUUAUCUUGGCAGAGGACCGGGACAGGAGGAGCAGCGUGAAUCAUGCUUGUGCUAGUAACACGCGGGUAGUGCUAUCCGGCCACUCGAUCGCUAUCUAGGUAACGGUGGCCACACAUUUCUACUGCUUACGUGCUAAUUUGAUUGCCAUCCUUAAGCAAGCGUUAACUAUAUCUGAUGGGGCCGUAUCUAAUGAUGGCCACGAAGUACAGUCUCUGGAACCAUCCCUACGGCAGGAUUAUGUACGGUGGGACUGGAUGUAAUGGUAACCACAAAUCAUGCCAUGCAUUAGGAAUUAAGUAUUUUUUUUCUCUUAGGAAGGAAGGAACGUGCAUGUUGUAGUAUUUGAUUUGGCCAUGCCAUCGAUGCGAGCAAGGUAGGAGGGCUAGCUGUGCAUACGCACAGUUUGAACGUUCAGGCUGAUGCUGAUGUCACAUGUCAUCGUUUGAUGUCGAAAUAAACUAUAGAAAGUUGUGCAUCUCAUGGCAAUUCAGAAAUUUUAAUGGUUUAACUAAACAAAGAUAAAUUGGCAUGUCCAUGGAAAAUGGAGUGCCCUUUUGUUCAUUUAUAUUUAUACGUUAUGUGCACUAGAAGCUUAGGGCACGCUUCGUGGCGCCGUGAAGGCUUUUAGGGCCUCGCAACUCGCUUUUCGCUGUUUAUUUUUGUCAUUGUGGUUAUCUCGCUGGAAUAUGUUCUCAUGAUGGCCUACUAACAAUUAUAAUUAAGUUUGUUGGUGUUGGCGCAGUAUGCCAAAGUCAAUAAAUGUAUAUUUUUGCGAGGUUAAUGUGAUUAUAACAGUGAAAUUUAAUGUAAUUUAUGUUUCACAUAUGAAGGUUUCUCGUGUAUUUGAUAUUCUAUACAAUCAUUUUUAGGAAUCA